This is a long non-coding RNA of Bos taurus (domestic cattle), 972 nucleotides long. The record is from Ensembl. NCBI's taxonomy places the organism in Eukaryota, Metazoa, Chordata, Mammalia, Artiodactyla, Bovidae.
GCAGAGGAUAUGGGGGAAGGGUCUGCACCUGGCAAGGCCCCACAAAGUCCUGCUCAGUUAGAGUUAGGAGUACAAGAGGUUUAGUGAGGGGGUGAUGUCUGUGAGAAAUAAAAGGGAGAAGAAGCAGGCUUGGGCUGGGAAAGCCCCAGACUGCUAAAGAGAUUUGACCUUAUCAGUUAACCCAGUUAGAAGUUCUAAAGUAACUGCUACCCUCAGAGCAGUCCCAUCUUAGCAGAAAUGACUAUGUCCCCAUCUCCGUGCCCUGCUGAGUCACUGGCUGGGAGUCUCUAGGAAUGAACCUGGCCAAGAUGCAAAAGCCUAGGUGAAGCCUGGGGGUGCCAACAGUGGUAAGGCGUCAGCUCAGCACAAUCCUUGUAGCUGUCGGUUUCCUUACCCUGCAGCUGGGAUCUUAAUUCCAAGACCAGGGACCAAAUCCACGUCCCCUACAUUGGAAGGUGGAUUCCUAACUACUGGAUCACCAGGGAAGUCCCUCUUGAACAAAGUUGGUGAGGGGCACGCAGCAAACAAUAGCAACCGAGGACCUGCCUCAACCUGGUUCCUGGGGCCGUCGGUAGCCCCGAGAAGAGCGAAAGGCCCAAUAGCAGCUAAUAUUGUAUCAAUACUUGCCCAUCCUGGUUAAAGUCAAUCCCGAAGGACUUCAGAAUGUGGCCGUAUUUGGAGGAUUCUUCACCACUGAGUCAUCUGGGAAGCCUGACAAAAACAGAUCAGCCAAUACACUGAUGUCUUGGAGGAUUCACCAGAUUUCUUCUGUACAUGGGGACAGCUCCUAUGGUGGAAAAUGGCAAUUUACAUGGGAUAAGACUUCUACCUGACCUUACCUGUGUGUCCUCUGCAAGCUUAUCCAGUAAUUGCAAAAAUCAAUGUGUCACACGUCACUUCCCUGGAAAGCAGCGCUGAGGAUCUAUCAGUCACCAGCAACUGCAACAGACGUCAUUCAUGUCACCUGCACCU